ACGGACGAGGACGAGGACAAGUAAUUUCC
RNAcentral lists this non-coding RNA (29 nucleotides) under Cricetulus griseus (Chinese hamster). The record is from RNAcentral. Lineage: Eukaryota; Metazoa; Chordata; Mammalia; Rodentia; Cricetidae.